GACGAACGCUGGCGGCGUGCUUAACACAUGCAAGUCGAACGGAAAGGCCCUGCUUGCAGGGUACUCGAGUGGCGAACGGGUGAGUAACACGUGGGUGAUCUGCCCUGCACUUCGGGAUAAGCCUGGGAAACUGGGUAUAAUACCGGAUAGGAGCCAUUUUUAGUGUGAUGGUUGGAAAGUUUUUUCGGUGUAGGAUGAGCUCGCGGCCUAUCAGCUUGUUGGUGGGGUAAUGGCCUACCAAGGCGGCGACGGGUAGCCGGCCUGAGAGGGUGGACGGCCACAUUGGGACUGAGAUACGGCCCAGACUCCUACGGGAGGCAGCAGUGGGGAAUAUUGCACAAUGGGCGCAAGCCUGAUGCAGCGACGCCGCGUGGGGGAUGACGGCCUUCGGGUUGUAAACUCCUUUCGCUAGGGACGAAGCUUUUUGUGACGGUACCUAGAUAAGAAGCACCGGCUAACUACGUG
RNAcentral lists this ribosomal RNA (465 nucleotides) under uncultured bacterium. RNAcentral describes it as "partial 16S ribosomal RNA". It matches the Rfam family "Bacterial small subunit ribosomal RNA", at positions 28 to 507 of the family's 1533-position model. The record is from RNAcentral.